GGAGGCAAGGGCUUUGGCUUAGAAUACUGGUUCAAACUCACAGGGGUAGCUGGUUGUGCCACCACUCGGAGGGAGAACAAGAGAUGUUACCCAAUAUCUUGGAGUCUCAGUUUCUUCCUUGAGAGGAGGAUUGACCAAACAAACUACUUUCCAAUGGGUGUGUUCAAUGGAGAUGUUCUUGGGAACUGGAAGGAUGCCAUUUUCCUAAGACAGGAUUGCAUUUGGAUUCUUUUUUUUAAAGGAGAAAAUAUAAGAACAAACAAUGCAGACCUGGUGUCCAUACAGGUAAGCUGAGGGACUCUUCCUGUGCUCUCAGAUAUGGUGGCCCGUGUAUGACUACCCACACAGAGUCAGGACACCAGGACUGCACAUCCCUUUAAGGCAGCAGAAGACUUGUGUGACGGCCUGUAACUGAACCAGUGGGAAGAGGAGGAAUUUUGAGAGAUGACAGAUACCAUGCAUUGAGGACGUAGAACCUGAAGCCUUCAGGACGGGCUGCGAUUGAUUACAGGAAUGAGCUGACUUCCUGGUUCAGGGACCGCCCAGCUGGUAAAGGAAAUGCAGAUUCUGGCCAUGUGCUGAUGGCCACCAGGAAGACUGCUGUUCAGAGCGUGUAACAGACACUCAUUCAUGCUAGAAGAAAUCCCAGCUGCCCACUCUUUUGGGAAUGAGAGGUUCGAGCCACAAACUGCACAAUGGAAGCAUGACUUGGGAGUCUUACUGAAUUCUCCUCCAGUGGCCAGGAAGAACAGCCUUUGCUAAUUACCUAGAGGAGGUGGGUAGACAAACUGUCCUUGGAUUAGAAAUCGCUGACUAGGGGUUGGGGAUUUGGCUCAGUGGCAGAGCGCUUGCCUAGGAAGCGCAAGGCCCUGGGUUCGGUCCCCAGCUCCGAAAAAAAGAACCAAAAAAAAAAAAAAAAAAAAAAAAAAAAAAAAAAAAAGAAAUCGCUGACUAGCGGGAUUUGGAGUCUCACAGAGAAAGCAUGUCCACUUUUGCAGGCUUUGAGCACAAAGCACUCCUUUACCCCUUCAGAGAGGAUCACAUGCACAGUGAUGCGUGUGCCCAGUCACCAUUAAUCCCAGACUACAAAAGCAACUUAUAUUUCUGAACGUCCCACCUGUCUGUCCCACCCCACAGUUCACAGGCCUCCGGAGACACGGACACAUACACCAUGAGAGGCAUGACACGCACGUAAGCACAUCCUGUGAUCAGCAUCACCACCUUUUGGCCCACAGCAGUGUUCAGACCUGUCGGCACCUGAAACCUUCCCUCCAAGUGUUACUGGCUUCCUGAGCCAACUGCAAGAUCAGACUGAUUUUGGCAAAAGCGAAGCGUUUGGGGGAGGUUCCCCAUUCUUUCAUCUGACCUGUAGAGCCACUUCUUGGCAGCAUCUACCCCCUUCCCACAGCAGGGCCUCCCGACCGUGGCUGUCCCCUGGCAGGGUGUGCGCUCCCUUCAGGUGGCUGUCACCCUUUCUGGGCUCAGGCACCUCCACCAGCUGCUCCAGCUGUGUUUGCCCUGUGUAUACUGGGAAGGUUUUAUGGGCCUAUUACACCCUAGGCCAUCCUUGACCCUGGAUCUAAGACUGUUCUUUCAUUCCAAAUGACAACAGUGCCUAGGUUUUCCCUGACAAGAAACAAACCGAACCCUGGUUCAAACAACACAAAACUAUCUUCCAAGUCGACAGCAGGUGGACCAAUGAGAAGACGGCUGUGACAGCUGGAAGGAGCACUCGCUGUUCUCAUGAGCUCUCAGGCUGCUCACCUGUGAACAGCUGGACACUCGAGGGAGUUACCACCUCAGGGGAAGCUAGUUCUACAACUGAAUCAGAGCCACGUGGGACAUACUCAUUGGGAAAGUGGUUCCUGACCUGCUGUGGCUGCAGCAGAGAAGGCGGCAGAAGCCUCCAGACCUGGAUGAGGAACAGAGCUGAAACCGACAAGAACUGCAGUGAAGCCCCUGCACCAUCUCCUGGCCUUUGAAGGCUCCAGAGCCCAGCCUUCCUACUGCGCAGUUAGUGGCUCUCCUGAAGAAUAGACAGAGUUGCCAAGAGUUACAGUCGCCCCACGCAAGGUCAGAAAAGGAGAAAAAAAAGAAUACUUAUCGGUGACAUUGGGAGUGUGAAGGUUUGCCAAUCCCGCAGAAGAUUCACUCCUUAGCAAUACAGCUGACAUUCUAAAAACAUCUUUCCAUUUUACACUGCAUUUUCUCCAGUGACACUUUUGAUUUUAUCAGUAGCACAGGAUGUUACGUACUAGAGACAAACUGCCCACCACCAAGCCACAGUAUUUCCACAGCAGUGAAAGAACAUUAGUCUGUCAGCUGCUUCCGAUGUUGAGAGUCAACACAGCUGAAAGAGGAAGGAAGUUGAAUACGGGCGUGGUAAAUUUAGUAAAGACUUUAUUGAGGAUCCAGCAGUGUCUAGGAUAGGUGUCAGGGGUACUUGUAAAAAUUAAGAAUGAAUAACUUGCCAGGUGGUGAUAGUGCAAACCUUUGAACCCAGCACCUGGGAGGCAGAGACGGGUGGAUCUC
This is a non-coding RNA of Rattus norvegicus (Norway rat), 2532 nucleotides long. The record is from RefSeq and is a predicted model, not a curated record. Lineage: Eukaryota; Metazoa; Chordata; Mammalia; Rodentia; Muridae.